Molecule: long non-coding RNA, 212 nt
Filed under: Mytilus galloprovincialis (Mediterranean mussel)
Lineage: Eukaryota; Metazoa; Mollusca; Bivalvia; Mytilida; Mytilidae
Source: RNAcentral
GUUUCGUUGUUUUCCUCUUAUAGUUGAUGAGUAUCCUUCGGUUUUAGUUUGUAAAUAGUUAUUAUCAAAGGUACCAGGAUUAUAAUUUAAUACGCCAGACGCGCGUUUCGUCUACAUAAGACUCAUCAGUGACGCUCAAAUAAAAAUAUUUAUAAAUUCAAACAAGUACAAUGUUGGAGAGUAUUGAGGACCCAAAAUGGCAAAAUGUUGUG